AUUGAACGCUGGCGGCAGGCCUAACACAUGCAAGUCGAGCGGAUGAAGGGGGCUUGCUCCUGGAUUCAGCGGCGGACGGGUGAGUAAUGCCUAGGAAUCUGCCUGGUAGGGGGGGAUAACGUCCGGAAACGGGCGCUAAUACCGCAUACGUCCUGAGGGAGAAAGUGGGGGAUCUUCGGACCUCACGCUAUCAGAGGAGCCUAGGUCGGAUUAGCGAGUGGGUGGGGUAAAGGCGCACCAAGGCGACGAUCCGGAACUGGUCUGAGCGGAUGAUCAGUCACCCUGGACCUGAGACACGGUCCAGACUCCUACGGGAGGCAGCAGUGCGGAAUAUUGGACAAUGGGCGAAAGCCUGAUCCAGCCCUGCCGCGUGUGUGACGAAGUUCUUCGGAUUGUAAAGCACUUUAAGUUGGGAGGAAGGGCAGUAAGUUAAUCCCUUGCUGUUUUGUCGUUACCAACAGAAUAAGCACCGGCUAACUUCGUG
This 484-nucleotide ribosomal RNA is filed under the name uncultured bacterium. RNAcentral describes it as "partial 16S ribosomal RNA". It matches the Rfam family "Bacterial small subunit ribosomal RNA", at positions 30 to 507 of the family's 1533-position model. The record is from RNAcentral.